Molecule: ribosomal RNA, 620 nt
Filed under: uncultured Bacteroidales bacterium
Lineage: Bacteria; Pseudomonadati; Bacteroidota; Bacteroidia; Bacteroidales
Description: bacterial SSU rRNA
Rfam family: Bacterial small subunit ribosomal RNA
Source: RNAcentral
CGGUGGCGACCGGCGCACGGGUGAGUAACACGUAUCCAACCUGCCGUCUACUCUUGGACAGCCUUCUGAAAGGAAGAUUAAUACAAGAUGGCAUCAUGAGUCCGCAUGUUCACAUGAUUAAAGGUAUUCCGGUAGACGAUGGGGAUGCGUUCCAUUAGAUAGUAGGCGGGGUAACGGCCCACCUAGUCUUCGAUGGAUAGGGGUUCUGAGAGGAAGGUCCCCCACAUUGGAACUGAGACACGGUCCAAACUCCUACGGGAGGCAGCAGUGAGGAAUAUUGGUCAAUGGGCGAGAGCCUGAACCAGCCAAGUAGCGUGAAGGAUGACUGCCCUAUGGGUUGUAAACUUCUUUUAUAAAGGAAUAAAGUCGGGUAUGGAUACCCGUUUGCAUGUACUUUAUGAAUAAGGAUCGGCUAACUCCGUGCCAGCAGCCGCGGUAAUACGGAGGAUCCGAGCGUUAUCCGGAUUUAUUGGGUUUAAAGGGAGCGUAGAUGGAUGUUUAAGUCAGUUGUGAGAGUUUGCGGCUCAACCGUAAAAUUGCAGUUGAUACUGGAUAUCUUGAGUGCAGUUGAGGCAGGCGGAAUUCGUGGUGUAGCGGUGAAAUGCUUAGAUAUCACGAAG